AAAAAAAAGAGUUUGAUCCUGGCUCAGAAUGAACGCUGGCGGCGUGCUUUACACAUGCAAGUUGAGCGAGGCCGGUAGCAAUACCGAGUCGAGCGGCGAACGGGUGAGUAACGCGUGGAUGACCUGCCCUCGAGUGGGGAAUAACCCGGGGAAACUCGGGCUAAUACCGCAUAAGACCGAGAGGUGAAAGCGGGGUCGCAAGGCCUCGUGCUCGAGGAGGGGUCCGCGUUCGAUUAGCUAGUUGGUAGGGUAAUGGCCUACCAAGGCGACGAUCGAUAGCCGGCCUGAGAGGGUGAUCGGCCACACCUGGAACUGAGACACGGUCCAGACUCCUACGGGAGGCAGCAGUGGGGAAUUUUGCGCAAUGGGCUAACGCCUGACGCAGCAACGCCGCGUGGAGGAUGAAGGUCUUUGGAUUGUAAACUCCUGUCAGCAGGGAAAAGCGAUUUAGGUGAAUACCCUAGAGAGUUGAUUGUACCUGCAGAGGAAGCCCCGGCUAACUCUGUGCCAGCCGCCGCAGUAAG
This 524-nucleotide ribosomal RNA is filed under the name uncultured Acidobacteriota bacterium. RNAcentral describes it as "bacterial SSU rRNA". It matches the Rfam family "Bacterial small subunit ribosomal RNA", at positions 1 to 524 of the family's 1533-position model. The record is from RNAcentral. Lineage: Bacteria; Pseudomonadati; Acidobacteriota.